This 14860-nucleotide long non-coding RNA is filed under the name Musa acuminata (dwarf banana). Its description in RNAcentral is "long non-coding RNA (MACU_LNC008083)". The record is from RNAcentral. Lineage: Eukaryota; Viridiplantae; Streptophyta; Magnoliopsida; Zingiberales; Musaceae.
UAGGUGAAGGAUCUUAAGCCGGAGAAGAAGCUUUGCGAGUCAAGUAUAGGUUAGAGCAGAUUUCAAGGUUGAGUCUCAAGUCUUUCUCAAGCACUAAGCAUAUUCCUUCAGUAGAGUCAGAGUAUCUUUCAGUGCUAGGGGAAUCCCCUGUUUUCUCUUAUCUAGCGGUGCGAGUGUGGGUGCUCUAGCUCUAAGUCUUGUUCGCGGUCCGUAACACCUCCAGUUGGUAACAAAUCCUUUCACCCUUGGUAACUUGGUAUUAUAUAGAAUUGGAUUAAGUAAUUUGAGCUAGAUGAUUAACAUCCAUUGCGAGAACAAGCAAGAAAUAUGAGAAGUUGGUCAGCUUCAUUCAAGUCAAGUUUCUUCACUUAUACUUCUAGGCGAGGUCGGCAAAGGAACAGGCAGUCGCAAGAAAAGACAUAUAUAAGUGGGGGUCUGUUGCAAUUCCAUUAUGAACUUCAAGUCGAGUGUCUAAAUCUGCGAGAGAGGAUCUUGGCGCUUGUCAGGUCAGAUGAACUUCUUGUUUACUUCUUGUGUCUAAGUCAUAGAGAGCAGCUAGUCAUUAUAGCGAUAGCGGUAGUUUCGUCUAGGAUGCUAGUGUUGUCUUAGAGAGAAUAAGAAUCAUCAAGUCAAUCAACAGCCCGCUGAAAGUAUUGUUUCGGGUGCUUGACUUUUCUCCUAUGGGGAAGAAUAGGUGUUUAGUGAAUUUUCUCUAUUAGACCUAGUGAAAUCCCCUUCUUCUUCUUAGGCCCCGCCCGCGAAAUUAUUACUUAUUGUAUUCCUGUUUCAUUCUAACUUGACCACUUUCCUCAUUCUAACUUUCCUUAGCGAGUCAAUUCACACUUAUGAGUGGAAUUCUUAGCCAGCUUCUUUUCCAGAUCCGGAUUCUGCAUUCCUAACAGCUUGAGCAACUAAAGUGGGGAUAGGGCCUGUUUGAAGCUAUCCUAAUUCUUAUAGCCUGGGGAAUGGAAUCUUUCUCGUAUUACCUCUUUAUAUACUUCACCCGCUUCGCUUGCUGCUGCCUUACUUGAAACUACUGAUUCGGCUUCUGCUUUCAAUCUAGCUUCUGCAGAUUCUUGAGUAAAUGACAGCACCUCCUCUAUCACCUCUUCUAUAACCUCUUCUAUAUGAAUGAUACGAAUACGACAAAACCAGAACGGAAAUAGACUCCACAGCACCAAAGCAUCCUUUACUUCAAAUACUUGUUUCAGAAACGAGUUCUGCGCGUACCUCAAUGGCUUCAGAAGCCUUGUUUCUCCUCCAUAAGCUCACACGUUAGCCCUAGCGGGAAGUACUCUCAUCUCACACAGGUCUAUGUGUUAUUAAGAAGACAUACAUUCGUUGGGCAGCUCCCGAGUAUCAAUGAACUAUUUAUUUGCUAUAAGAUGAGUUGAACCCAUGUUCCACUAAGCAACGCAACAAAGGCUAUGGUCUCUGAGAGUGGUCCAAGUCGUUAACUGCUUGUUCCGAGUCUACCAGUAAAAGAAUGGAGUGCUUCAGAUUGCCCAAGUAGUUAUGCAGAUUGUAGUCAUGAAGUUCAGAUUAUUACCCGAAGAAGUAAGCGUUAGCGUAACGGCGAGGAAAACAUGAAUUUCUCUAUUACUGGCGAUUACGAGGAAAACAAACAUGAAUUUCUCUAUUACUGGCGAUUACUUAUAUAUAAGAUAGGAACCCCAAAACUCACUCACUUUCAUCAUGAAGCUAGGAACCCCGAACCUAACACUACGAAGAUAGGCACCCCGAAAUUCAUUAAUUUGAAUAACCGACAAGAUAAACUGAAUGAAUUGCCUUAAUCGCUGAGUAUAGUGGGCAUUCGCAUAGAUGGAUUCUUCCCGAACAAGACUUAGAGCUACAGCACCUCCGUAGUUGAUAAAAUAGAGAAAUAAUCUCCAUUAAGGCAGCAACAGUACGGGCCAAGCAACUAAGAGAGACGCCAACUCGUUAUAAACUCGUUAUGAGCAAGUCCUGUGCUCGGCGCCAGUUGUUACGGGACAAGUAACUACUAAUGUUACGCGUCAGUUAAUAGUUCGCUGUCGCGUCAGCGAGUGAAAAGAGCGGCAGGAGCCUGUUGUUGAAAGUGAAUUUGUUUGAGUUCACAGAGCAUAAGUGGAAGUCGAGGUCUGUUAUGAAAGUCUAGUUAUUACCCCUGAGAGUAGUGGGGCAGUUUCAUCAGUAGUUGUUAGUGGAAUCCCUUGUUUCAGUGGAAGGUAUCAUAUCUCGUCACAAGUUGCGAUUCAAUUCAAACGCGUCUGGUAGAGUUAUGUUCUGCUCGCGUUAGGAGUGAAACGCGUUAGGAGCUGUAGUUGCUUUGCUUGUUCGGUAACCUUACUCUUUCCUUUAAGAACGAAUAUUGGCACCCACCCCGAGUUGCUUGUUCUCUACCACUCCGGACUCUUGGCUCUAAUCUUUGCUCUGCUCUUGACUUCUACUUCGCAUUUUCUGUAUCGCCUUACUCUUGUGCCCUAGCUUGCUGAAUGGAAUUGAAAAGUUGGAAGUCACUAUUAAUACUUAUAUAGGAGUUGUGGUAAAGAGGAAAGAAUUCAUUACUAUCCAGAGUUGCAAGCACAGAUUCUACUGCUUUGAGGCGAGUGAGGAAGACAUAGUAAGGAGCCCUGCCCCAUAUAGUAUAUAGUAAAAGUAAUCAACUAUUUCUUGACCAACCCUAAGCCAAAGUAAUCAACUAUUUCUUGACCAACCCGAGUUCUCUGUCCUUUUAGUAUGCUAGAUUUAGUACCCCCCGUACCCUUGAGUGGAAUGAUUUGUUGAAAGUGUAGUUCUUGCCCCUGAAAGUUGUAGUUGAGUUUCAUCUGUCUUUGUUGCCCGAGGUAGAUGAGAGUCCUGCUCCACGAGGUCAAAGAAUCCAUUACUAUUCUUAUUUACCGCAAUAAGCAUUUCACUACUUAUAGCUUCCCUUACUCAAAAGAAUAUAACUCAGGUUGUCAACUAACUCCCUAAACUGACAUAGAUGCUUGGCAAUUACAAUAAGGGCUUAUCUUCAGUAGUAGCCUGUAUUCUUGGUCAUUACAGGACAAGGACAGAUUCUCUCUCUUCUCUGGUCGACCACUAAUGUAUAGCGUUAGUAAUAAGUUGUGAAGUCAAAUUGCCUGUUUCUCUGCACUGCCCUAUAGUAGUAACGGAAGUAGACCUCAGUUGUUUGUCGACUGUCGACUUGUUGCGUAGUGUCUUGGCUGGGGCAGAAUCUCUUUUCGAAUGCUAAACUGCGGAUUCAACGUAUAUAAGGUCCAAGGGAAAAGUAAAGUGAAGUCAAUAGUUUGAAAGAGCAGGCUCGUUAAGUCUCUAGUUUCAAGAGCAGAAGCGGGAAGUUUAGUUGCCAGUUUACAGAGGAUAGAUAGCCGGUAUUGAACUAUAAAGAAUGGAGGCCAAGCAGGCAUACUGGCUUUGAAGCGAGGUAGGCGGGCUGGUCUAUUCUCUUCUUUCUUCCCUUAGUAACUGAUAUCUUAUAUAUAGUCUUUCUUCCCUUAGUAACUGAUAUCUUAUAUAUUGUUAUUAAAGAAGCCUGUCUUAUUCCUAUCCGGAGUCUCCUUAUCGGGGGUCGGCAGCCAAACUACAACUAAGUAAGUAUAUGAAUAAUAAUGGAAAAAGAAUUCCACUUGAAUAACCGAUUGAAGCUGACCUUGAAACAGCACUGCAACUAACCAUAUUAUAUGACAAAUGAGAAAGCUUCCUAAACUUCCGGUCAUAACCUGACUUUAGAACUGCUUCUUUUGCACUUGUUUGGGGACUAUCCCUAUUGGUAGCGAGGGUUGGAGAAGGUACCCGGACUGCCGCGUCACCAUGAAUUAAGGGCCCAGACUUGGCAUCCGAAACUUCUUAUAGAUAGAGGCAUCGACCUAGACCACUCCUGUAACUUUCCCUUAUAUUUAAAGCUACUUGCUACGUGUUUGCCUACGUUUGCGCCAAAACCAUAUCUCUUAUCUGCUGCAAAGACUGGUUCCCCCCUACUAGUAACGCUUGAUCUUCAUUAACUUCAGCUAGGAUAUAUUUGCACAGCGAAGCCCAAGACCGAAGGCAAGCAACGACUAAUGUUGCGCGGCAGCAACGAAUAACGAGAGAUAACGAGUUAUGAGAAAGUCCUGUGUUCGGGUGCUGAAAGCCUGCAAAUUCAGGGAAGAUCCUUCGGAAGGUGCGGGGCGCUCCCUUGCUCAAUAGACCGACUUCUAAGAAAAUGCCCACAUAGAAGCAGUUGCCUUUAUCAACGUUAUGCCCGUGAGCAACAAUUAUGCUUCUUACCUUGAGCUUAUCGUUGAUUCGUUUAAGGAUUAUUCUUUUAUCCACUUUUCGACUUGCUGCAGCGGACUCUGUUCUAGCAAGUGCAAGCUUAAGCAGUAAAUACCUUCUGCGAUUGUUACUAUCAGUCGUUAACAAAGCUUUAUUUCGUACCAUGUUGAAACACUACUGAUUAUCUUCUAGGCUGGUAUACUACAUAUGGGUUGAUGAAACCCAUCCAAAAUGAGAUUCAGAGUACCAUAAGCAAACUCUCCAAAUUACAUUUAGGUCAGGUACCCUUCAUCUAAAUAAAACUAGAGAAGGAAGGCACUAUCCAUGAAAAUAUCACUAGAAUGGAGAAAGAUACUCUAUCUAAUGGAGAGAGAGAUACUCUAUCUGAUGGAGAGAGAGAUACAAUAUCUAAUAGAAAGAGAGAUACUAUAUCAGAAAACUCCACAACAAAAGGAGAUUGAGGGUAAGGAAGGGGGGAAUUCUCUAUGCGUCCCUACUGUUAAUGAAUCGAUGCCCAUUGUCACCAAUAGAUAAUAUAGAGAAAGGGAAAGAGAAGUGAGCGCAUCAAAAAGAAAGACAAAAGCGUAGCCAAAAAGAAAGACAAAAGCGUUGCCGAAAAACAGAAAAGAAGUCGUUAUGGAAAUGCUCUUUUGUCUCUAUUUGAGUUAGAAUUCCUUAGUGAGAAAACUAUGAAAUCAGUAUAUGAUAAUGAACCUAACAACAUUCCUUUAUGAAUACGGGAGACUCAAUAUAUGAUAAUGAACCUGGCAUCAUUUCUAUAUGAGUAAUAGACACUUUUCUUUCUAUUUGAAAUGUAAGAAAAAGCGACAUCCGCAAGGCUCUUAGCACCUGAAUACUGGACUAUAUUCUAUUUGUUAUCUGCUUAGCUUAGGUACAAUACAUUAGUUAUAGUGGAUCUGAGCAUGUGGCAUACGAAGGGUUGUCAGUUCUUAAAGUGCUUUUAGAGUGGAAUACCGGAAUCAAACAAAGCAAAGUUGUAGAAGAAUGAGAUCAAUAAGAGCAAGGAUCGAAUCGGAGCAUACAAGACCCCAUGGGGAAUCAAAGACAUAAGUAGUAACUAACCUAGGGCUGCCAAGACUUAAUGCUAUAUUGGGCAGAAUGUAAAUACUCUGAAUUAUAAUGCAACUACUGAUAACAAGGCUCUUGCUCCCUACUCUUAUUCUUACUAAAUAUUCAAUCCGUCUCCCCUUACUUGGUUUCAUCCUUCCUGGUAGCAGUGUCAGUUUAGGAGAAAGUCCAAGCAGGGCAGUGGAUAGGGUAGUCAAAGUGAAAGCGAGGUUCGAGAGCUGUAUAGGGAAGUUCUAGUUACAAAGGUAAGUCCUGUCAGCAAUAGGUGUAUUCUUUAUUGCCUAUUUCAUUAUUCAGAGCGGUAGGUGCUGCCUGCCCCCAAAGAUGACUUGCCCGGUUAUCGCUCUUUGACUGCUACCUAUGAUCCUUACUUGCUUGGUUCCACUCUCCCCUCUGUCAACUCAUUCCAUUCCAUUCUUCAGUAGUCGUAGCUUGGCCCACGAAGACAGCACUCGGUAAGGGCACCGCCUUCAACUUAAUGCUCGUAGCCUUGAAUUCCACAGUAAUACAAUCCAAAUGCUUAUUUCUUGGGGUACGUUCACAAUUGAUUCGAAUCCUCGUUGAUCCUUCGUUCGUAGUGGUUAUAGUGAGAAAGCCCUGCCUUUAGACGAUAAAGCCCUCUUUGACAUCCCCUAGACAAAUCAAUAGGAUCAUUUUGGUUCCUUUGAUGAUGAACCACUCCAGUACAGACUAGUAGGAGUCAAUUUGGAGGCCCACUUCUUCUUCUGUUUUCCUUCCAAGGGGCUUUUGGCUUUCUAAUAACACCCCCAAAACCGAAUGACUGAAUCCGCAAAGAAAAUGUUAGGAUGGGCUGGUCCACACUUUGAUUCCCUAUCGGUUGAUACUCUCCAGACGGAACCAACCUAAACUGAUUGAACUCAAGCAAUCGCAGCUACUUUCUAUUCCACUGCCUUCUCUAAACCACCAACAACGGAUACGACAAGAGCAGCAGCGGCAACUAAAGUAGCAUCGGCUAGGCUUACUUACGAGACUAUGAGGAUUCCCUUUCUCCUUAUCUUAGACUAUGAGGAUUCCCUUUCUCCUUAUUUUAUAUAGAACUAUAGUAGGCAAGGCCUUCCUUGUUCUUCCACUCCCCGGUUGCAUUCUUGGUUGUAGUGGCUGCAUUCUUGCCCUCACUCAUUUCAUCCUUUGACUCCUUAGCUGCAGUCCCAUACUAGCUACCCCUUCUUUCAUUCGAUAACAACUCCCUUCCCCGGCGCUGUGAGUCUUGAAAGUGCAAUUCCAGGAUUUGAAGAAGGAUAAUCAUCUGUUAGGUAACUUCUUUCUAUACCGGGUUAGAGAGCUUUAAGGUCAGGGACGGGACUUGAUGCCGCCUAAACGAUACAACCACUUAUUGGAGUUGCUUUUGACCCUGGAAAUAGUGAAUUAAGCGUUAGUGAUCUCUUUGCCAUUGAAGGAGCGGAUGAUGGAUGAAAAGCUGUAUCUUGUUCCGCGUUAUAAGCAGUAGUAACAAAUAAUCACUAUCGUUAUGACUAUAGCUUGUUCCGACACCUCGCUUAAGAAUCACCUCUCUCUCCACGACCAACGUCAACAACAGGAGAUACUAUACUUUUAGAAGCCUUAGACACAAGCACUCUCACCUCUCUGCUAAGAACCUAUUUCUUCUCUUGGAUACAACGCGCUUUAGGGUUCCCUUGCUUUAAGAUCCGGGUAGGUAUUAAGAAUGGAGUGUGCAUCAUAUAGAGUAGGUAUUAAGAAUGGAGUGUGCAACAUAUAGAGGGUAAGAAAAGCACUCUACAGGACAACUUACUCGAACCUAACUACUUUACUUGUUGAAACCUAACUCCGUACUUAUAAAGCAACAACGUGUGUAAACAAAUAAUUCCAUCUAUCUAUCUUGCGCAGAAGUAACAAAUCAUUGAAAUUGAACUUUCGGAAUUUCCACCCCCCUUUUGCGUCGUAAUACCUCUUCAGAGAAUUCCCUAUCUUGCCUUGCCCCCCGAAAUGCUCUGAUAAUGCUUUGACGCCUAGAAUCUUUACUUUCGAACUAACUUGUUUCAUCUGAAUGGAAAAUCCUAUUAGUAGCAUAUGCAUAUGAUAGAGGAGCGUAAACACCCUGGCUUUCAGACUCUCAAGAAGGGGAGACACCAGCUUCUUUCUCUUCUACUUAUACUAGCUUAUUGACCCGAACCCUAGACUCCUGUAAGGAAUUCUGGCCUUUGUAAAACUCCCUAACGCACUUAAUAACGGCUAACGCGAGCGGAGUUGCGCUAACCAGGAGCUUACCUUGGCUUGGCUACCCGCCUCAGGAGUCCUUAUUCUCGUACUUAGCUACUCAUCUUUACAUAUAAAGGAAACUAUAUCUCCUUUGAAGCUAGGGAUUACUAUAUUCUAAAGAAGAACAGAGUGGAAAUAAAACAAGGCAAACAACACUAAGUGCGCUAACGGCAAAAGAGAUACAGAAAAUGAUUGAGCAGGGAAAAAGUGCAAAAGUGGAAUCUUGAAAGUAUGAUGAUGACUACUAUUACAACAGGUAACCAAACAGCUGGCUGACUGCUUUCAUACGAGACUCCCUUACUUUACAGAAGAAUAAAGAGAAUGCCGCUGUGCUAAAGUCAGUUUCAAGUCUUGUUCAAGUUAUUGUUCGUUUGACUCUCUAGCAUUGCAUCUAAGUGAUUCAUCUUCUGCCCUUCACAACACUGCUACGCCAGUACUAUAUUAUUUCUCUUAUUAUUUACCAGAACUAUACGUGAGAACAGAAACAUUAUUUCCUUACUUGAGCCAAGAUAGCGCAACGGCUUCAUUUCAAUAGAACUCUAUACUCUAGCAUCACAUAGAAGAUCUUUUCUCUGAUAACGAUAACAAGAGCAUCGCAUUAACCGUGCUGUCAAGACAGUUACAGUUGAGUCAUCAGUAAAUAUGGAAUUGAUUAUUAGUAAUGAAGAUUGAAAUGCGCUGAUCUCAUUCUUGCUGUACUGGUUUCGAUUCUUGCUAGCCCUUGUUUGAGCCUGUAACACCCAAGCAUCAGUCUGCCCAGCACUGGGUUAAGGCUGUAACUACAUAGCAUCAGUCUACUACACCUACAGAUCAGUCCGCCCGGCACUGAGUUAAGUCUUAGAUACACCGGUUGAAGUCCGAGUAUACCUAGCUUCAAUCCUGUUGGUAGUGGUUGCAUUCUAAGAUUGACUGGUUUCAUUCUGAGUCACUCAGUUACUGUAUCAGCCUUGGACUUACUGCUUUCAGGCUGCUCCUCACUAGCUACAUCCUCCCACCGACCAGUCGCAUCCUGUCACACUCCCGAGUUUGAGUCUAUCAUUCCCUUGGUUCAUUCUGUGACUCCCGGGUUUGAUCUGUCAUCCUUAAUAAGAAGAGAUAGAAAUCAGUAGGGGACAAGCCUACAAAAGAGAUCGAUUGACUACUUGCUUAACACAAGCACUUAAUCCAGAGAUCUUAGGCCAAUAACUUCCCUUUCAUAGACUUACUCCUUACAGCUUAUAGGCGACAUCCCGAGUGGAACUUAAUAAAUAGGGGUGGUCGACCAGAUCAGAUGUUGUGCUAACGGUUUCAGGACUUACUAAUGCACCCGUUCCGAGAGGGAUAACCGGAAUUAGAUGAGAUGAGAGCCUAGGGUAUCAUAGAAUUGGGCCAUAGUACUUAAUUGGCAGUUGUUACAUUGAGUGGAGACUACUGUCAGCAGCAGCCCUUAAGUGAAUGGUUAAGUCAACCAGAUCCGUAGAAUCAACUUCAUCCGGGGCAACUGAUCCUGCCUAUGGAACUACUUUCAUUCUAUCUUUAUUAUAUAAUAGAACGGAUUCAACUCGGUUUAGCCUUAUUCCUUGCCUACUCCUAUAGUACCUGGUUCUUUUCCAGUUGUUGGUAUUAAUGGCGUUGCGGGAGUUCUUUAGCAAAGGCACAGAAAGGAGAGUCUCAGGUGUUUGAUUUCCAGUUUCAUCACUUAUUUCAAAGGAUUAUAAUAAGGGGUGGGACUAAUUAAUAUACUCUGCUCGGUCACUAAUCCUUUCACCCGGCAGUGCUUUGUUGUUGACAGAUAAGAAACAUCAGAAGCGGUUAAGGCUUACGGAAUGAGGUCAGUCAGAUAACCUUACUUGCUUCCGCGCCUAUAAUUCUAAGUCAAAGCCUUCACUUGACUUGCUUGACUUAUUAGUGGUUUUGAGCAUCUAAAGGAAUAAGGGUAAUCAGUAAGUUCGGGUGCUAAAUCUCUGACUGGCUUUGAUCUAAGUAAGGAAGUAGAAUCUCUUUCAUCCCAACAAGCAGACAAAUAAAGGCAAAGAGAGAAGACAAGUAACGGCGCAAGUACUGUGUUUCUUAUUUCCUCUUUCAGAACUCUUGAACUCCGGAGAUACCACUUUCUUCUUGCUUGUUUGAAAUGAAUCGCAACUAAACGAGAGACUUUAGCCGGGACUUCUUGAAAGCAGGGUAGCUCCGUAUUUAUUACUUAAUUGGCUGGACUGGCAAGUAAUGUAUUUGGCCCUAUUCUUCUCUGUAAACUAAUACAGUGCAUUCGGCUCAUCAGCACUAACGGAGUUCAAAGAGCAGAAGUGGAAGUCGGAAGUUGACAAAACCCGUGUUUUUUGAUAGCGACCAUGGUUUCCCUCCUGAGCCGAUCAAGAGGAUAGAUAAUUUUAUGAAACCCCGGUAAAAAACAUAGCAUGGACAUUUCCCCUCCUGGAGCACCCGAAACGGACUUCCUUUUUGCGUUUUCCCGUGCAACAACGCUGCCGCGUCACCGAACGCAUAGGGAGUAAGAGAGCAAACAUAACUGUUUAUGUUCGUUUAUUAUUAUAGUUGUGUUUUAGGCCUUGCCUGGUUGUAAAUGGAUUUCCCUUCCUGAGGCACCAGAUGGAAAUUACAAUUUUACGCGAACACAGGACUUGUAAUAACUCUGUUAUGACUAUUACUUGCUGCCGCACAACAUUAGUAGUUGUUUGGCCCCGGGAUUUUAGAUAGCAAAUGGAUAAUAUCUCCUCGGAUCUAGCCUCUGAUCGAGUAUUGCAACACCCGAACUACUAGACUGGAGAGUUGAGAGCGAAGUUACCCUCUUAUACUAGAUGCGGGCAAUCGGUGGGAUUACUCACUGACUUAAGGCUUACUAGUGACAUUCUUAGACUGCUUAGCUCAAUUCUGUAAGUCCUACUUCUGAGCUUUUGGUCUCCUACUUAUGGGUCUCCUACUUAUGAGUUGGAUUCUUCCUUUCAAUUGCCUCGUAGCCAACAAGCAACUACUAAUGACCAAGCCUAUUUCCCUUUCCUUACUAACGACCAAGCCUACUUCCCUUACCUUAACAGCUACACGCAUGGGUUCUACUACUUGCACUCAAAGAGAUUCUCAGCCCCUACCCAGACACUUCCGCUUUCAAUUCACACUUUCAUAUAAGAUAUGGAUCAAAUAGAUUCGUUUUGGUUUCAUUCAACAAUAACUCCGUGAUUGCUUGGCUCUUCUCCUUCUCUGGCUUCGGUAUCAAAGCAAGUACUCUCUUUCUCUUCCGCCUCUCCUCUGGCUCUGUCAACAACUCCUCUUCUCUUGCGAGCACAUAGUAAGUAGGCGCCAAGUUACUCGUAUACACCUCCGGCAACUAUACCUCUGGCUCAUCUCUUCUCUUCCAAUACUCCAUCUGUUCUCUUCUCUUGCUUGGCGAGUUUCAUCCGCUCUCCUAUAAUAAAGAAGAGAAAGAAAUAGUUUCAUAAGAGAAAUAAUUCGACAAGCCACCACUAGAGCAAGAGCACCAACACCUAGACCAGAAAAAGAAUUUCUACCUAUUUCCAUUUAUACCCCUGUAUUCGAGAGUAAAGUUUCCAGUGUUGGCGAGUUGAUUGAGUCUGCAAGCCCAGUUACAUAGCUGCGGGACAAUAAGUUUACCUUUCUUAUGGCCCAAGUAGUAGAUAACCUGGUGUAAAUAGAAUCCUAUAAUAAGAUAAUAUUCAUUUGAUAAGAUAAUAUUCAUUUGAUAGGGACCAAGCAACAACUGCUAAUGUGACGCGGAGGAAGUCCUGGUUGCUUGGCGGUUGGUUACCAGAAUCUAGAAUACCUAAAUAAGCCAGGAGGAGAUUGCUAAGAGAAUAACGAGCAUAUCCUUUGUUUCCUGUGAGUCCAUUGUUGUGGCAAAGGAGCGAGCACCUAAUAUAGAUCAAAAGUCAGGAUACUGCAGAGAAUAUUUGCAAGAAGAGUCAUUUCUUUAGCUCUUAUAGUAAGUUGAGAGAAACCUGGCCUGUCCUGUCUAAUAGGCGUUUACCCUGAAACAAGUAGUAGUCCAAGUAGUAGUCCAGUGAAGAAUUAGACUAGUUGUGUGCGUGUGGAGAAGGGUGUUAUCGAACUGCUUCCACAGCUUCAAACUUAUAAACAGGUGGGCCUGGCAAUACAACUAAACUCUCCACGACACCACGCUUCAAAACCACGACAGAGCUAAGUAACCAACCAUAGGCAUAGAGCUAGGUCUGCAGUUGGAGUGGAUGAGCUAGAGGCAUUCUAUAAGAAAGAAAGAAAUCAAGUUAGCAGCGAGAGCCUUUUUGCCAGUACUGUUCUGGUUCUUGUGGAAUUAUGUGCUUACUACUUGGUUAGGUAGAAGACAUGGCCUGUCUCUCACCUCCGCCUUGCGCCUGUUCCGAGAUACUUUCCAGUGCGGGGCAAUCCAUCUGGCAUUCAAUUCGUUUCCGAUAGAAGGGAAGUCAAUUCUGUUACUUAUUUAUUGUUGACAGCAGAUAGAGUUGGGUAAGAUCUAUCGAGCAGGCCCUAAUACAUAAUUGGUAGCGCAUUCUAUUCUUUCUUUGUCUUUUGGGGUAACUCAGGAAGCGGGGAGUGGAGAAUCAUAAGAUAGGGGCUUCAAAUGCAUUCUUUCGCAUCGCCAAGACGUUUAAUGACAAAUAUGACAUCUCAAACCCCCUUUGGAACCUAGAAACUCAUUGAUGCCUAUAAGAUUGAUGGUAGUUCAGGGCAGACUUAGAUAGGUAGUUGCGCGUCAGGCCAAGACACUACUACAAAGGCAUAACUCGUAAGAAAGAAGCAAGGCAUGGGUUCCACCAGUGCGGUAUCUCAGAACAAGGCAUGGGUUCUAUCCCCAAGAAUAGCGUGAAAAAUGCACUAUUUCACUAGUUUUUUCUUUGAUAGCAAAUCUUUCAUGUCACAACCCCAUUGGGGCCAAUAAAUGAAUUUGAGCCUAACAUCUUUAGGGUUCCCUUGGGGCAGUUUCAUCCCCUCGUACCAAUUACUUACUAGAAACUCCCUUCCCUUUAGCCUCUCGUACCAAUUACUUAAGGGCACAGGGCUAUUCUACAACAUCCCGGCUCAUCUAUAUAUGGCUCAGUCCAAUCAAUAACUCCCCUUUGGCAUUCUUCCGAACUAUGAGACCAAACCACAGCAAUAAGGCUUAACCGAGUCCUAAUGAAUAGCGUCAAUCCUCUUAGGUCCUAUCGAACAAUAACUUUACUACCAAUCGGACUUCCUGGACUACCAGUGUCGGACUACCUGGACUACCAGUGCUUUCACUUCACACGGAUUCAACUUCAACACCCGGCCCGGCAUCAGAUCUUACCUUAGCACCUGACCCGACCUCUUAUAAGUGCCCGACCCGAACUAACUCGAUCCUACUUGCCCACUUUAGAGUGGCCCGAACUAACUCGAUCCUACUUGCCCACUUUAGAGUGGAUUUCUUUCUUUCUGUCUUAUGAGACCCCUAAGGCUAGGCACCCACAUCUAUAAUCUAUAUAAAUGACACUCCGACCUGCCCCGUAAUGUUACUUCAAUGAGUUAACCCCGCUCCCUUCCUACUUUCCUACUAGCUCCUACUAUCUCACCUCUUAGGGACAUUCUGACUUGCUUCACUCUGGCUCUGCUCUUUAGUAUCAAUCCCUGCAUCCCUUUUGAAUUGAUCCGCUUGCACUGCAUACCUUUCUUUUGAAUCUGAUUGAUCCGCUUGCACUGCAUACCUUUCUUCUUAAUCUGACCGGCUUGACUUUGGAAUUUGACUAGUUGCGUAGUAUAACUGCUUAUCCCCGUAACCGCUCCUCAGCAUGAGAACAUCUCUAUGACCCGACGUAAAGCGUAAAGCCAAGAAAACACCUCCACGAAACGACUUUCCUCGACCGGUGCGGUACAAGCUUUAGUUUCACUUUCCUCGCCCCGAACACAGGACUUGAAAGAAGGGUUUGACUCUACUUAUACUCUGUAAACUCAUACUGAUUUAACUGUAAACUAAUACUGUUAGGGCUCAUCUACCUAUAGUCACUCUAGCCUCUACUCUGGCUACAACUACUUAUGAAACUACUCCACUCCACUCCACUACUUGCUUGACAACGAGAAACUUCCCUAGCUCCCACCUAGCUUCAAAGCAAGUACUUUACCUCUGCUCUUGCUCAUCUCAGCAAGCAGCUGGCUUCCAUCCCUCUGGCUCUUUUCACUCAGCUGGCAUACUACACUGGUUAAGAUCAAAGAGGUCAGUGAAUUAUGACUUAUGAGUGGAAUUCCUCUUAGGCAAAAUAGCUUAUGAACUCAUUCUCACAGACCUAGCUCAGCACUCUGGUUCUUGCCUCCCCUUUAGGGUGGGGCUCCAUCCUCGGAUUCUUUACUUGCGGCGGGGUUCGAUAGUACUUGCUUGCGGUGUUGGGAAGAAAGAAGACAAGCAGAUAACUACAUAAAUGAAACCAGAGGGUAUAAACCUACAUAACAGGAACAGGAACAAUGGUAUGAAAGAGUGAAUAUAGCUUCAUAUUCUGCUUUCGUCGUCUUCGUCGGCGGUAGCAACAAGUUAUUAUCUAUGUUGGCUUCUCUCUUUCUCCACUUUCUCCUUAAUAAGAUCAAUAAUAAUAAUAGUAUAGAAAUAGUAGUGAUCAGAGCCCAACUAAUCUCUCUUUGUUUUUCAUUGAAUUAAGCUAUUCUUACGGUGUUAAGUAAAGUAACCACUAAUUCCUACUGCCUGGCCUUCCACUUUGCUACUCUGGUAUGAAACCGAAUCUUCCACUCCGGCAUUCCUACAAAUAAGAAUAAGGGAAAGGUCUCUAGUACUAAAGCAAAGAAUAAGGGAAAGGUCUUCCACUCAUACUAUUCCUACUAAUAAUCAUAACUUACCUCGAUCUCAUCCCUCUCUUGCUCCCUUACGUGCUUCCUUGCCUGUUGAAGACAGGACUUGCUUAUAACACCUGUUCGAUAGGUUUCUACCUUAAUUCUUAUACAACUACUCAGUCAUAUCCCUUACUUAUCAAUCAAUACAACUACUCAGUCAUAUCCCUUACUUAGCUACUAACUUAGAUGCAGAAGAUGGGUCCUUAUACCUUAACUCAGUAUCCAUUCCCUUACUGGGUCCUAUUAAUACAACUACUCAGUCUUAUACCUAAUGCGGGCCAAGUCACUACAUUUACCUACUAGAUCCUAAUGAAACAAAUACCUUAACAAGGGCCUGGGGCAGAUGCAGAUAUAUAAGUGGUUUUCGACCUUUACGUUUUCCCGGCUUUUUUCAUAGCAACCCAGUUUUACCUACUGGCAGACCUCUUUUUGAUGAAAAGUUUACGUUUUCCCGGGUAUUUUCAUAGCUUCGUUAGUGGCGUGGUUGAGUGGUAGUAAU